Molecule: ribosomal RNA, 635 nt
Filed under: uncultured Actinomycetes bacterium
Lineage: Bacteria; Bacillati; Actinomycetota; Actinomycetes
Description: bacterial SSU rRNA
Rfam family: Bacterial small subunit ribosomal RNA
Source: RNAcentral
CGCCUGGGGAGUACGGGUGAGGUAACGGCUCACCAAGGCAUCGACGGGUAGCUGGUCUGAGAGGAUGAUCAGCCACACUGGGACUGAGACACGGCCCAGACUCCUACGGGAGGCAGCAGUAGGGAAUAUUGCACAAUGGGCGAAAGCCUGAUGCAGCAACGCCGCGUGCGGGAAGAAGGCCCUAGGGUUGUAAACCGCUUUCAGCAGGGAAGAAAAUGACGGUACCUGCAGAAGAAGGUGCGGCCAAUUACGUGCCAGCAGCCGCGGUGACACGUAGGCACCAAGCGUUGUCCGGAUUUAUUGGGCGUAAAGAGCUCGUAGGCGGUUCAGUUAGUCGGGUGUGAAAACUCUGGGCUCAACCCAGAGACGCCACUCGAUACUGCUGUGACUAGAGUGCGGUAGGGGAGCGGGGAAUUCCUAGUGUAGCGGUGAAAUGCGCAGAUAUUAGGAGGAACACCAGUGGCGAAGGCGCCGCUCUGGGCCGUAACUGACGCUGAGGAGCGAAAGCGUGGGCAGCAAACAGGAUUAGAUACCCUGGUAGUCCACGCCGUAAACGUUGGGCACUAGGUGUGGGUCUCAACCAACGAGAUCCGCGCCGUCGCUAACGCAUUAAGUGCCCCGCCUGGGGAGUACGG